RNAcentral lists this ribosomal RNA (212 nucleotides) under uncultured bacterium. Its description in RNAcentral is "partial 16S ribosomal RNA". It matches the Rfam family "Bacterial small subunit ribosomal RNA", at positions 1288 to 1500 of the family's 1533-position model. The record is from RNAcentral.
ACGUUCGGAUCGCAGCCUGCAACCCGGCUGCGUGAAGCUGGAAUCGCUAGUAAUCGCGGAUCAGAAUGCCGCGGUGAAUACGUUCCCGGGUCUUGUACACACCGCCCGUCACACCAUGGGAGCCGGAAACGCCCGAAGCCAGUGGCCUGACCGUAAGGAGGGAGCUGUCGAAGGCGGGUCCGGUGACCGGGGUGAAGUCGUAACAAGGUAAC